Molecule: long non-coding RNA, 1556 nt
Organism: Anguilla anguilla (European eel)
Lineage: Eukaryota; Metazoa; Chordata; Actinopteri; Anguilliformes; Anguillidae
Exons: 4
Source: RefSeq, a predicted model, not a curated record
UAUUUUCCUUCUGCGAUUUCAGGACUUAUUUAUUUAUUUAUUUAUUUAUUUAUUUAUUGUACAUUUUUACGGACAUUCGUUUCACUUAAAAAGGGCUUGUGGGUUUAGCCAGCAGAUAGUUGGCCUAUACUGAUAUAUCACAAAAAUAUAAUUAUGCUAUUUUGGAUUGGGGUACCUAAAGUCCCGAUGCCUAAAUAAUUCGCAAGUUGUUGAAUAUACGUAUAAGUUAAUUUAAAAGAUAUCUAUAUGCAUGGAAUGUUUGUUUCGUCUGAAUAACUAAUUAAAUAGGCGUACGAUAAAUGACACCGCCAAGAAAAAUAACAAGGCUUACUUCAGCCAAGUAAACAAGUAAAAAAAAAAAAGUGCAUAACGAAACUGAAAGUGUUCAAGGGCGUACGCCAUUUUACAGGCGGAGGGGAACGAAGAGGGACUAAAAGAAGGAAUAAAACCGAAUAAAAGAACGGAGUCAGCUAAUUUGGGUUAAAACCCACUUGCGGUCUAAACUGGUCUGACGUGUUCCAGUCUCCUGAGAUGGGGGUCCCUGUUGAUGAAAAGAGUCUCUCAGGGGAGCCAGAGACCAAAGAGGAAUCCCUCAGCAAUGAGAGAAACAAGGUCCAGGUAGAAAGAGCAGGGUCAUCUGUACCCAGCUGUCUGUCUAUGAAGAGUGAUCAAUCAAUGAAUCAUCCACUCAUGUUCAGGGGAGAGUUCACUGGUGAUCAAAGGGUCCAGCAGUCACUGGAGUCCACUCGUUUAGAACAGAAGAGUUCAAAGAAAUUAUCUUCCCCAAAAGAGGUGUGAGUUAUGUUUUUUAUAAUUGUUUUUAAGUGUGAAUUUUAAGUGAAAUAUAAUGCCUAAUCAGUGCCUGAUAUGUGCCUAAUAUUGCGUCACAUGAACACAACACAUUUCAAACAUGCUUUAAAUUAUUUUUUGUGGUUUGUUUGGGACCAAGAGGUGUAAACAAUUCCCCAUAUUUUAAAAUUGGAAAUAUUUGGGGAGAAGGGAAUCCUGUGUGAAAACCGGAAGUGAAGCUUGUAGCUGUGCAAAGGAAGAAUUAGUGCUAAUGCUACAUGCUACAUUUAACCCCUCAAAAGACACAACUUAACAUCUAAUCAUGCUCUGGAGUGCUACCUGGUCCUCACUCACAGGAAGUCCAGUUUCCAUCUGCAGGUCCCACACACAGCAGGAGAGGAAGAUUCCUAACAGAGACUUUUAAACAGGAAGCACUAAGCUCACAGUUAGCAUUUACUAAAUGUAUUACGCAGAGCAACUGCAUUAUUCUACUGAACUGCAGGAUUCAUCACACAUAGUGUCUCUACAAAGCCAUCAAUCAGGAGCACAGCCUGCCGUUAGAAUCUGAGCAUUUAGCACUGCUGCAUGUUUGGUGUCUGAAAGUAUCUGUCCCUGUCCUGACUGUCAAACACAAGAGACACACGAGGCAAGGAGCGCCUUUAUUUGAGCUUUUAUUUCAGGUGUGGUGAUACAGCACACCUCUUCAUGAGUUUCACACUGAUACAGCACACCUCUUCAUGAGUUUCACACUGAUACAGCACACCUCU